UACGUAGGGGGCAAGCGUUGUCCGGAAUCAUUGGGCGUAAAGCGCGUGUAGGCGGCCAGGUAAGUCCGUUCUGAAAGCCCGGGGCUCAACCCCGGGAGGCGGAUGGAUACUGCUUGGCUCGAGUCCGGAAGAGGCGAGUGGAAUUCCCGGUGUAGCGGUGAAAUGCGCAGAUAUCUGGAGGAACACCGGUGGCGAAGGCGGCAUCCUGGACCGGGAUUGACACUGAGGCGCGAAAGCCAGGGGAGCAAACGGG
This 253-nucleotide ribosomal RNA is filed under the name uncultured bacterium. Its description in RNAcentral is "partial 16S ribosomal RNA". It matches the Rfam family "Bacterial small subunit ribosomal RNA", at positions 524 to 776 of the family's 1533-position model. The record is from RNAcentral.